GGAGGGGGUCCCCUUCCUCCCUUACUGCUCCUCGUGUGUCCCUGCCAAAGCUGGGUGCUGGGUGGGAAAGGAUGACCUUCUCCGAACAGAGGUGGACUGGUCUUUGGUCAAGGGUAUAUGAGUAGUUGUACUCCCCUGAUAGAACCUCCAAACAAGACACUCAGCUCAUGGGCUGGAGAGAUGGCUUAGACGUUAAGGCACAUGCCUGGGAAGCCUAAGGACCCAGGUUUGAUCCUCCAG
Molecule: small RNA, 240 nt
Filed under: Jaculus jaculus (lesser Egyptian jerboa)
Lineage: Eukaryota; Metazoa; Chordata; Mammalia; Rodentia; Dipodidae
Description: 7SK RNA (ENSJJAG00000001623.1)
Rfam family: 7SK RNA
About the family: 7SK was discovered as an abundant small nuclear RNA in the mid-70s but a possible function has only recently been suggested. Two independent studies have found that 7SK RNA binds the CDK9/cyclin T complex (known as elongation factor P-TEFb).
Source: RNAcentral